This is a long non-coding RNA of Gasterosteus aculeatus aculeatus (three-spined stickleback), 1902 nucleotides long. The record is from Ensembl. NCBI's taxonomy places the organism in Eukaryota, Metazoa, Chordata, Actinopteri, Perciformes, Gasterosteidae.
AGCGGGAGGAGCAGAGAGGAGACGACGGGACGGAGAACUCAAACAUUUGGAAUGAGGUUGAUUUGGUCCUUAACAAGAGGACAAUGGUCUGCUGGAGUGUAAUGAGAGCUCUCACAUCACAGGACCUCUUGGUGGUUUCUGUCUCGCUGCAGCUCGUCGAUCCGGAGGACGGCUGCCGGCGGUAAUUGGCUCUUGAGCUGUUGUCUCUUUGAGGAGACGCUGUGAGAGUGUCUUAAGGACGGUCUCGAGUGCGUCGGUCCCUCUGGAGGAGCCUUUAGUCAACUGCCUGAUGAGACCACUUCUCCUCGUCUUUGAUCCUGGACCAGCGGAGACGAUUGAGACCGCAGCCGCUUGGAUUCAUUGACGAAUUAGUUCAUUUAUUUAAAGUUACCGUGAGGAGUUGGUUCUGAAUCAGAGUCAGUUUAGUCCUGAUCCUCCGUAGACCCCGUAGAAGAUCCUUAAGCAGAGACGGCGCACCGGGGACAGACCCAGACGCUUCUCCUCUCUGGAGGACCAGGACGUGGUGAUGGAGUGAAGGGAGGCCCGGGAGAACCAGACCCGGGACUGAGAGGAGCUGACUGUGGAACCCUGCGGUAGAACGAGGGGUUCUGAAGGGACCGUGCUGGUAGGGACACUACCACUUCCGUCCACAGGGGGCGCCAGAGUCAACUGCAUGAGCGUCCAGCAGCUGAAAAGCGGCGUUUUUUUGUGCGGUUUUCCCUCUUUUCACGACGAACUUCAGUCCUCCCGGAGAACAAGACGAGAAAAGCACUUCAGUGGUCGGUUCAGAAGCUGCCUGGACCGUUGGAUUCUCUGUGCUGUCCUUCCUUCCACGUCCACUGGAUUGGACUCUGCAUUGUCUCCCACUGGUUCGCCUACAGAAAGCAGAAUGAGACCAGCCUAAAUGUCCUCACUCUGAAGGUCUCAGAUGAGCAAUGGUCCUCAGAUGGAGGGCAGGACGAGCACACACACACACACACACACCUCCGGCGGGAGCAGACUAAACAGAACACGGACGUCCUCCAUGAAGUCAAAGUUUACAUAAUGUCCAAUGUGAGUCGCUUGAACAAAAACUGGACAAAAAACAAACAGAGUCUCAUAUUCCUUUUUCACAACACGCUCAUCAUUUAUUCAGAAACGAGAAACAGUCUGUGAAAGAACGCGUUCCCAUUCUUAUUAUCUUACUUGUAAUUACGGAGAAAACGUGUCACGUCUUUGUGGCAGCGGCCGUUAAAUGGGACGAUCGGGCCUCACAAUGGGAGCCUCUCUCUCUUUCGGGGGGGGGGGGGGCGGGCGAGGGGGGGCUGGCUCGCUGCCAAGAAUAUGGCUGUUGGUUUAGCCGCUGAUCCCUGGAAGUGGCGGCUGCAGGACGCAGGCCGGCGUGACUGACAGGAAAUGGGCGCCGGUUUUCACAUUUUUAUUUUCCGCCUCUUCAGCGGGAACGAAGCUCUAAACGAGGGAUUCUGAGAGCACCACCCGCGCGGAGCUACGUCUUUAUAGCUGGUUACUCCCAGGCGGGGAUAUAACAACCCACCCUAAAAUAAAGCCCCCCGAAGGGUCCCUCUCAUCCAUUCAUGCACUAACCUCCUGCAGACACACAGGCGGGCUCCAUUAAAGCGCCCGGGGUCCAACGCUCUCUUGAAUCUACAAUCGAUUGCUCUUCCUUGGGUUCCCGGAUGUUGCGGUUCGAAUUUUUUUGUAUUAAAUUGUUGCAUUGAAUUUUUUUGCAUUGAAUUUUUUGCGGUUGAAUUUUUUGCAGUUGAAUAUUUUAACGUUGAAAAACAUUCAGAUACAUGAUUUCAAUGCAUAAAUAUUCAGUGCUAGAAAUUCAAUCACCUUUUUCUUUCAAAAUCCAAUGACACAGAUUUACUUCCAUACAAGUGGAGACGUUAUUUUCGCAGC